Molecule: unclassified non-coding RNA, 285 nt
Filed under: plant metagenome
Description: partial contains small subunit ribosomal RNA, internal transcribed spacer 1, and 5.8S ribosomal RNA
Rfam family: Eukaryotic small subunit ribosomal RNA (bases 1-54)
Source: RNAcentral
GGAAGUAAAAGUCGUAACAAAGUUUCCGUAGGUGGACCUGCGGAAGGAUCAUUAUUGUAUAACCGAGGUGCGAGGGCUGUCGCUGACCCGAAAGGUCGUGCACGCCCGAGUGCCCUCACACACAUCCAUCUCACCCCUAUGUGCACCACCGCGUGGGUCCCCCUUUGGCUUGUUCGGAGGGGGGCUUACGUUUUCACACAAACUUUGUAUGCAGUGUAGAAUGUAUUUUUUGUUUUUGCGAUCACGCAAUCAAUACAACUUUCAACAACGGAUCUCUUGGCUCUC